UUACGGCGCUCAGCAUCAGAGCUUACCUACCCUUGACAUGUCUAGAAUGGGCACCAGAGAUGGAGUCCUUCACUUCGGCUGGCUAAAACACAGGUGCUGCAUGGCUGUCGUCCGCUCGUGGCGUGAGAUGUUGGGUUAAGUCCCGCAACGAGCGCAACCCUCUUCUUUAGUUGCCAUCAUUUAGUUGGGCACUCUAAAGGGACUGCCGGUGAUAAGCCGGAGGAAGGUGGGGAUGACGUCAAGUCCUCAUGGCCCUUACGGGUAGGGCUACACACGUGCUACAAUGGUGGUGACAGUGGGCAGCGACACAGUGAUGUGAUGCUAAUCUCUAAAAGCCAUCUCAGUUCAGAUUGUACUCUGCAACUCGAGUACAUGAAGUUGGAAUCGCUAGUAAUCGUAAAACAGCAUGCUACGGUGAAUACCUUCCCGGGCAA
This 434-nucleotide ribosomal RNA is filed under the name uncultured soil bacterium. RNAcentral's name for it is "bacterial SSU rRNA". It matches the Rfam family "Bacterial small subunit ribosomal RNA", at positions 946 to 1379 of the family's 1533-position model. The record is from RNAcentral.